Molecule: ribosomal RNA, 505 nt
Filed under: uncultured bacterium
Lineage: Bacteria
Description: partial 16S ribosomal RNA
Rfam family: Bacterial small subunit ribosomal RNA
Source: RNAcentral
GACGAACGCUGGCGGCGUGCCUAAUACAUGCAAGUAGAACGCACAGUUUAUACCGUAGCUUGCUACACCAUAGACUGUGAGUUGCGAACGGGUGAGUAACGCGUAGGUAACCUGCCUGGUAGCGGGGGAUAACUAUUGGAAACGAUAGCUAAUACCGCAUAAUAUUGAUUAUUGCAUGAUAAUUAAUUGAAAGGUGCAAUUGCACCACUACCAGAUGGACCUGCGUUGUAUUAGCUAGUAGGUGAGGUAACGGCUCACCUAGGCGACGAUACAUAGCCGACCUGAGAGGGUGAUCGGCCACACUGGGACUGAGACACGGCCCAGACUCCUACGGGAGGCAGCAGUAGGGAAUCUUCGGCAAUGGACGAAAGUCUGACCGAGCAACGCCGCGUGAGUGAAGAAGGUUUUCGGAUCGUAAAGCUCUGUUGUAAGAGAAGAACGGGUGUGAGAGUGGAAAGUUCACACUGUGACGGUAUCUGACCAGAAAGGGACGGCUAACUACGUG